GGUUAAGUUAGAAAGGGCGCACGGUGGAUGCCUUGGCACUAGGAGCCGAAGAAGGACGGGACUAACACCGAUAUGCUUUGGGGAGCUGUACGUAAGCGUUGAUCCAGAGAUUUCCGAAUGGGGGAACCCACUAUCUUUAGUCGGAUAGUAUCCUUACGUGAAUACAUAGCGUGAGGAAGGCAGACCCAGGGAACUGAAACAUCUAAGUACCUGGAGGAAGAGAAAGAAAAAUCGAUUUCCUGAGUAGCGGCGAGCGAAACGGAAAGAGCCCAAACCAAGAAGCUUGCUUCUUGGGGUUGUAGGACACUCUAUACGGAGUUACAAAAGAAAGUUAUAAAUGAAGCGGUCUGGAAAGGCCCGCCAAAGACGGUAACAGCCCGGUAGUUGAAAUGGCUUUCCCUCCAGAGUGGAUCCUGAGUACGGCGGAACACGUGAAAUUCCGUCGGAAUCCGGGAGGACCAUCUCCCAAGGCUAAAUACUCCCUAGUGACCGAUAGUGAACCAGUACCGUGAGGGAAAGGUGAAAAGCACCCCGGAAGGGGAGUGAAACAGUUCCUGAAACCGUGUGCCUACAAGUAGUUAGAGCCCGUUAAUGGGUGAUAGCGUGCCUUUUGUAGAAUGAACCGGCGAGUUACGAUUUGUUGCAAGGUUAAGCGGAAAAAGCGGAGCCGUAGCGAAAGCGAGUCUGAAUAGGGCGCAUAAGUAACAGGUCGUAGACCCGAAACCAGGUGAUCUACCCAUGUCCAGGAUGAAGGUAAGGUAAUACUUACUGGAGGUCCGAACCCACGCACGUUGAAAAGUGCGGGGAUGAGGUGUGGGUAGCGGAGAAAUUCCAAUCGAACUUGGAGAUAGCUGGUUCUCUCCGAAAUAGCUUUAGGGCUAGCCUCGAGGUAAAGAGUCAUGGAGGUAGAGCACUGUUUGGACUAGGGGCCCUUCUCGGGUUACCGAAUUCAGAUAAACUCCGAAUGCCAUGUACUUAUACUCGGGAGUCAGACUGCGAGUGAUAA
Molecule: ribosomal RNA, 1006 nt
Filed under: Listeria monocytogenes
Lineage: Bacteria; Bacillati; Bacillota; Bacilli; Caryophanales; Listeriaceae
Description: partial 23S ribosomal RNA
Rfam family: Bacterial large subunit ribosomal RNA
Source: RNAcentral